UGGGGAAUAUUGCGCAAUGGGGGAAACCCUGACGCAGCAACGCCGCGUGCGGGAUGAAGGCCUUCGGGUUGUAAACCGCUUUCAGCAGGGAAGACAUCGACGGUACCUGCAGAAGAAGCCCCGGCUAACUACGUGCCAGCAGCCGCGGUAAUACGUAGGGGGCGAGCGUUAUCCGGAUUCAUUGGGCGUAAAGCGCGCGCAGGCGGUUGCUCAAGCGGAACCUCUAAUCUCGGGGCUUAACCUCGAGCCGGGUUCCGAACUGGACGACUCGAGUGCGGUAGAGGCAGAUGGAAUUCCCGGUGUAGCGGUGGAAUGCGCAGAUAUCGGGAAGAACACCAACGGCGAAGGCAGUCUGCUGGGCCGUCACUGACGCUGAGGCGCGAAAGCUGGGGGAGCGAUCAGG
This 403-nucleotide ribosomal RNA is filed under the name Verrucomicrobiota bacterium. Its description in RNAcentral is "Verrucomicrobia bacterium partial 16S ribosomal RNA". It matches the Rfam family "Bacterial small subunit ribosomal RNA", at positions 355 to 776 of the family's 1533-position model. Lineage: Bacteria; Pseudomonadati; Verrucomicrobiota. The record is from RNAcentral.